Long non-coding RNA from Hemicordylus capensis (graceful crag lizard), 3947 nucleotides. RefSeq lists it as uncharacterized. Lineage: Eukaryota; Metazoa; Chordata; Lepidosauria; Squamata; Cordylidae. The record is from RefSeq and is a predicted model, not a curated record. The transcript is spliced from 2 exons.
UUCUAGGUCAAAACUAGUACCUAUUACACCUGGAAACAUAACCAGGUCAUAUUCUGGAACAUGGAUGAAAAUGUUUCUGAUAUAUUAUAUUGGGUGCAUGAGAUAGUUAAAGUUCUGAAUUCACCAGUGGUUUCAAAUUUUUCAGCAAAGGGUACUGGUCAAAGGAGAAUUUAGUUUCUUCUUUCAGCAUUACACUUUUUCCACCCAAUACACUGGAUGCUGGAUUAAAUUUGUUUGGAAUUUUGUUAUUUACGUUUAUUAGAGAUAAAUUGUACCAGCUGCCUCUAUCAAAUAAAACACAUUUACUAUAGAUUCAGCACUGAACACUAUAUUCUCAGUGAACAACUAUAAUCUAAGUAUUUUAAAACUGAACACAACUUUUAUCAGUUGAUGAAUGCUCUCAGACCUGCUUAUAAGUGGCUGACUUCCAGACUAAGUUGUUCAUGAAUUAUCCCACUAAAAUUAAUGCGACUUUCCCAUAAAGCUUGAUGGGGCUACUCAUGCAUAACAGUCUGAAAGUUCUGCACAUCAGUUCUGUUCCCUAUAAAACAGAACAAGGCACCUUUAUUUGUAAGGUAAUUUUUUUCUCCAUUUGAUGAAGGAGAAUGAAUUUGAUGAAGGAGAAGGAAUACUUGCUUUCUGUAUUUGUUGACUUUCUGUUUGGAUCCCUUUCAUAUAUAAUAUAAAGUAAAAGUGUGCCAUGAAGUUGAUUUCGACUCCUGGUGCCCACAGAGCUCUGUGAUUUUCUUGGUAGAAUACAGGAGGGGUUUACCAUUGCCACCUCCCCCACAGUGCGAGAUGAUGCCUUUCUGCAUCUUCCUAUAUUGCUGCUGCCCAGUUUAAUACUAGGUUCAUGUUCCAGUAGGUAAGACUAAUGUUUUCCAACGUGCUUUAACACACUUUGGCACUGUAUCCUCAGUUCUACUCCUAGAGCUAAGAAAAAGGUCAAAUGGAAUCUCACAUACUUAACAUAAUGCCUCCGGAACAUGUUUCAUGAAGAGGUCUGGGAGCUCCUCUGUCCCUUUUGCCAGGGACUCCAUGCCCUUAUCCUGGCUUUUGCAAUGAAAUUUUGGAUAAUUACUUCCAUGAGUGCACAAGAGCAACACUGCAUUCCCAAUCAAUAACAUGGCAAGUGGAAUUUGACACAUGCUAAAAUCCGGUCGUGGAUGUAUGUGACAAUUGUAGGCCUAAGCAAAUAUAAACAGAUUUUUAAAAAGAUUACUGAACUCUUGCUUCCCUUCAACAAGAAAGUGAUAUCGGCUGUAAAUGUAAUAUGGAAGUACAGUACAGAACAGCAGAAGUGCCACUGAAACAUUGCUGCUUUGUUAGCCCACAUGUGGAAGGCUGGCACUGCAAUUCUGUACAAAGGCAAACUCCCCCCCCCCACACACAAAUCAGGACUUUAAAAAGACAAAAGGACUACUCCAAAAAGGCUGAAUUGCAGCUGUUAUCUUAACUGGGGGGGAAAGAGAAAUUUCAGAGAAAAGGGGUGAGCAAAAGCAACUUAAGAAUCACACCAAGAGAGUCUGGUCCCAGCUUCUCUCUACAGAAUAUUGUUAUGGAGCAGAGGUCAUGAACACUGACAUCCCCAUCAGAAUGAAGAUCAUUAAUCCCGUCACCCUCUGUUCACGGAUUCCCAAGAACUUUGGUUGCUCUCCUGGAGCAGAACACUCUGAUUCUACUUUUAAACUGUUGACAUGACUUAUAGAAAGAACUGUUGCAGCCACAAACCAAGGCAAGCCCAUGAUAGAGCAUAUACCUAGCAUAACUCCAACCAUGAGAAGAUCGAGAUGAUAACCACAACCUUUCUGUAAAGUCAAACACAGAACAUAUUUUCUACCAGACUCACAUCAAAGCAAACUGGGGAAAAAAAAAUCUUCUCUUUAACUGGUACAUUUUUAAUACACUAAGAUCUUUCAAUAAUUGAUCAAUGCAAAAUAUUAACAUUUUGAACACAGUGGUGAGUAAGUUGUGGAGAAAUGUUAACAGAAAGAACUGUAUGGCAAAAACUACCCUGAGGAGUUAACAGAAUCAGCUCUUCUAGCAUGCAAUCUGGUGGCUGAGGAUCUUUCCUAUUAUUUAUUAAAGAUAGAGAUAUCACUAUCUCCAUCUAUCCCACCCUUCCAGUGCAAUACUACUAAGGGCAGCUCACCAUUUAUAUUUUAAAUUAUCUCUUAUUUUAAGAGAUUAUAACAUGCUACCAUAGCUGACGUGUGGAAAAAUGAGCAACUACAUGGCUGAGCUUAAGUUACUUGCAUUCUAGCAGAACACACUGUAACCAGGCUGGUUACAAUAACUUCCUAGCACCCAAUUUCCACUUUGAUUGGGAACAAACCCAAUGAUUUAGCAGCAGAGAAAAAUUUAAUGUUUUAAAAGGUUCUGCUGAAAAUGUUCCUGUGACCCGAGCAGCAUUUCCAAUAGUUAUGAGAUUUAUUAUUCACUCUUUCUCCCUAGCACAAAUACUGCAGCAGAUGUUUCAUUAAUUCCAGCACUAUACCUUUUGUUCCAAAUGUUUUAACAACCCCAUCUUCAGACAUUAUGUUGUACGAGUGUAUAGAGGCCUGUACAGUCAUACAUGUUUUGUAUGUGAAUAACUAAUUUUAAAAAGUGAACCUGGGUACAGGUACCCUGAAAUGUAGGAUACAAGUAGAUCAUGUGCUGCUGUACCUUGUUCAAACAUAAUAUGAACUGUGCCUGUGUACAGAUUUGUAUACAGAAUGUAUACAUUAUACAUUCAUACAAGUAUUGAAUAUAAUGUGAGAGUAGGGCUUGUUUACCAGCCAAAUCCCAGACAUACAUCACUCCUCAGCUUCUACGAAGUUACAAUUAAUAAAUGGUGCAAGUUACAAUCAAAAAUACGUAAGAUAUUUUAUUUCAGUUUACAAUUGUAUGCCAAAUGAAAGUUCUAUAACUUCCAAGUGAAUAUUUUAGAUCUUUGACAGGGAUACCACAGAAAUAAUCUAGCAAAUUGGCUUCUGUAUUCACAGUCAGAAUAAGAAAGCAGUUUUUCACCUUGAGCUUAUGUUCCUUCCUGUUUAUGAUUACGGCUGUAAUUUGCUGGUCCAUAAAAAUGAGAAUUGUACAGAGUAAAGCAGGAACUGCAGCAACCAGGAGUGUCCACCAAGGAUUGGUUCCUAGAGGAUCCAUGAGCCAUCCUCUGUCUUUUUGUGUCGGCUAGAAGAAGAGACAUCAAGAGGACUGACUAAAGUAGAAAAAGUGAUACUUUACUUUUAAUGAGGCACUUCAACUGUCAACUUUGUAUGCUUGCUAUUUGUACAUUUUAGAGUGCUAAUGCCUUCCAAAAAUUCCAAGUUAAAAAUGAAUUAGAAUAGCUUGGAAUGAACAAAGCAUAGCUCAUUAUUGGAUAUAUUUAUUAUAAAAUUAAGGCACAGGCUAUGCUUAAUUCAUGUUCAUAUGAAACAAGGAACAAUAACACCAAGUCAAGUAGUAUAUUGUGGAACAUUACAGAUUAACCAGGUUUUUUUUGGCAUUUCCGUAACACUUUACUUGACAUUACACUUCAUCAAAUGCACUUUUUGUUAGAAGUGAGAAUUCUAAAGCAUUUAUCUUAGCACCACAAUAACCUCUUCCGGCCACUAGAGCAGUGUUCCCUAUAACAUGUAUGUGUGCGUGAGCACACCCAUGUUUUUUUUAAUGUCUGCCUAAUUAAUUUUAGAUCCUGCUCAGGCUGAAUCAGGAAAGUACCACUCUGAAUGCAUGUGCACACACAUUGCCUUGAUACUGCCACCCAGAACAAAACUUAUUCCAUAUGCAGAUGAAAAAAAAUAGAAAAAACACUGGACUAGAGAUAUGAUAAGGUGUUAAUGUUAGAGUCAGAACUGUUCCGUUGUUAUUGAAGGCUAGUACCUGUUUGAAUAUGUUGUUAAAUGUCUCUCUCGUAUGUGAUCUCCUGGUUUCUUAAUAAAUCUUUGUUUUUUUGAACUCAA